GAUGAACGCUGGCGGCGUGCUUAACACGUGCAAGUCGAACGAGAAAUGGAGACGGAAACCUUCGGGCGGAAGGCUUCAUUUCGAGUGGCGGACGGGUGAGUAACGCGUGGGUAACCUGCCUCAUACAGGGGGAUAACAGUUGGAAACGACUGUUAAUACCGCAUAAGACCACAGCACCGCAUGGUGCGGGGGUAAAAACUCCGGUGGUAUGAGAUGGACCCGCGUUCGAUUAGCCAGUUGGCGGGGUAACGGCCCACCAAAGCGACGAUCGAUAGCCGAUCUGAGAGGAUGACCGGCCACAUUGGGACUGAGACACGGCCCAAACUCCUACGGGAGGCAGCAGUGGGGAAUAUUGCACAAUGGGGGAAACCCUGAUGCAGCGACGCCGCGUGAGUGAAGAAGUACUUCGGUAUGUAAAGCUCUAUCAGCAGGGAAGAAAAUGACGGUACCUGAGUAAGAAGCCCCGGCUAACUACGUG
This 478-nucleotide ribosomal RNA is filed under the name uncultured bacterium. Its description in RNAcentral is "partial 16S ribosomal RNA". It matches the Rfam family "Bacterial small subunit ribosomal RNA", at positions 28 to 507 of the family's 1533-position model. The record is from RNAcentral.